RNAcentral lists this long non-coding RNA (1294 nucleotides) under Sus scrofa (pig). Its description in RNAcentral is "lncRNA (ENSSSCG00015029696.1)". Lineage: Eukaryota; Metazoa; Chordata; Mammalia; Artiodactyla; Suidae. The record is from RNAcentral.
AUGCCACAGCUAUGACAAUACUGGAUCCUUAACCACUACACCAGGCCAGGGAUUGAACCCAUGCCUCUGCAACAACUUGAGCCACUAUAGUCGGAUUCUUAACCCACUGCACCACAGCAGGAACUCCUGAACUGAGAAAUUUUCAGAUCUCAAAUUGUCCAGAAUCCCAAAGUUUGACAACAUACCCUCUUUAUUUACACUUUCAUAUUCUGUCCAUGGAUGUAUAUAUAAUCUUUAUGAGGAGCUAUUAGGCCACAUAUAUCAAUAAAAAAUGCAUACACUCUCUAGGAGUUUCCGUCGUGGCACAGUGGUGAACGAAUCUGACUAGGAACCAUGGGGUUGCAGGUUUAAUCCCUGGCCUCGCUCAGUGGGUUAAGUAUCCUGCAUUGCCAUGAGCUCUGGUGCAGGUCGCAAACACAGCUCGGAUCCCAUGUUGCUGUGGCUGUGGCGUAGGCGGGUGGUUACAGCUCCAAUUGGACCCCUAGCCUAGGAACCUCCAUGUGCCUCAAGUGCAGCCCUAGAAAAGACAAAAAGGAAAAAAAAAAUGCAUAUACCCUCUGAUUCAGCUAUUUUCUUUUUUGUUGUUUUUGGCCAUGUCCACAGCAUGCAGAAGUUCCGGAGGCAGGGACCAAACCCAAGCCACAGCAGUAACAACACCAGAUCUUUAAACACUAGGUGACUGGGGGAACUCCUGAUUCAGCUGUUUUCAAUCUCAACAUUAACCCCACAGAAACAGUUACAAAAGUGAGAAAUAAUAUAUGCACAAGUAUAACAAUGUAUAUUCUUUGUAACAAGAAACAACUGAGACCAAUCCACAUGAACAUCUACAGGGAAUGACUAACAAAUUACAUAAUAUCCACACAGUACAGCUGUAACAAAAGGAUGGGAAGGCUUUUCAUCUACUGCUCUGGAAUGAUCCUAAAAAAUACUAUUAAAUGAAAAGAAAAUGCUACUGGGUAAAAUGAAAAGAUGGGAAAGGAGUACCCAUACUCACAUAUCUGCUUAUACAAGCACUAUCACUGGAAGAAUACGCAAGAAACUGACAGCACUGGUGACCCUAAAGAGUGCGACUAUGCCAUGGAGGUAAGAAGGAACAGGUUCACACCAUUCUCUUUUCAUUACAGCCCAGGUGAACAGAAAACCUACUAAGAAAUGAAUUCAGGAGUUCCCAUCGUGGCUCAGCCGUUUGGUUACCGAACCCGACUAGCAUCCCUCAGGACUCGGGUUCAAUCCCUGUCAAGUUCAUUACCACUGAGCCACAACGGGAACUUCUACACUCAUUUUUUAACUAUCC